UGCCAGCCGCCGCGGUAAUACGGAGGGUCCAAGCGUUGUCCGGAUUUAUUGGGUUUAAAGGGUACGCAGGCGGGACUUUAAGUCAGUGGUGAAAGCCUCCAGCUUAACUGGAGAAUUGCCAUUGAAACUGAAGUUCUUGAGUAUGGAUGAGGUGGUUGGAAUAUAACAUGUAGCGGUGAAAUGCAUAGAUAUGUUAUAGAACACCAAUUGCGAAGGCAGAUCACUAAACCAUUACUGACGCUGAGGUACGAAAGCGUGGGGAGCGAACAGGAUUAGAUA
This 279-nucleotide ribosomal RNA is filed under the name uncultured bacterium. Its description in RNAcentral is "partial 16S ribosomal RNA". It matches the Rfam family "Bacterial small subunit ribosomal RNA", at positions 506 to 784 of the family's 1533-position model. The record is from RNAcentral.